UGUGAGUGAUCUGGAAUUGCUUUGCAUAUUUUUGUUACCCAUUUCGUGAGAGGAUUUAGUUACAGUUAAACCUAUAACUGUAAAUAUAGAGAAAGUAGCGAGAAAAGAUCCUACGAAUUUUACAACUUCGGCAGUUUGAAUAUGGAUAUAAGUGCAAAAAAGACGACUUGCAGUUGCACUUAUUAAAACUAAGAAUAUAAAGCCGAAAGAUCAGCAAAAACAUUUGGAAAUACUUGGAAAAUUGAACAAUGCGAAGUAAACUGUGUUACAAAAAUUUGCAGAAGUCUUUAUCCAAGAUUUUAAUUCAUACAUAACACGCUGGUUAUCAAAUGCCGGUUGAUCGAGAUGGUGGAAAAAAUGAGACAAGUGCAGCAGCUGCUCGUGGU
This is a long non-coding RNA of Belonocnema kinseyi, 386 nucleotides long. RefSeq lists it as uncharacterized. NCBI's taxonomy places the organism in Eukaryota, Metazoa, Arthropoda, Insecta, Hymenoptera, Cynipidae. The record is from RefSeq and is a predicted model, not a curated record. The transcript has 3 exons.